Molecule: long non-coding RNA, 794 nt
Filed under: Polistes fuscatus (common paper wasp)
Lineage: Eukaryota; Metazoa; Arthropoda; Insecta; Hymenoptera; Vespidae
Description: uncharacterized LOC122523082
Source: RNAcentral
UUUAUCAUUAUCGAUAACCCGUUACACGAUCGUUCGUUUUAUUAUAUUUUAUAUCCGUAAGGAAAAUCAUUUUUACGUAAGUAAACAGUUCGUUAAUUGCGUACCGUGACGAAACGUUGAUUCGAUGAAAAUAUUUGGUUAGUUAACUCGUUGCCGAUUUGUUGUGCAUCGUCGAACUUUCGAUACGAGAUCGUUUCGUGAUACGACGUUUCGUGGGAAACGAGGGUGGGGAAGGGGGGGGAGGCGUUCGUGAAAAAUCUGGUGUUUUCUUUUUUUCCCCUUUUUUUUUCCUUCUUUUUUUCUUUGACUUUCGGUGCAUUUGGUAUCUUUUGUUAACGCGGGACAAUCGAUGUUUGGUGGAUAAGAAGAAGAAUAAGAAUAAGAAGAAGUAGAAGAAGAAGGAAGAAGAAGAAGAAGAAGAAGAUCGAAUGUACACGGGGGUAGUGGAGGAAAGAGGAAGAUAUCCUACUGCUGCAACAACCACCUGUGUUGUUAGGACAAACUCUGACGCGCCAAGGAUGUUGCUCGUGAUCAGGGUUGCUACUGAUGUAGUUUACCUACGUCUCUGAUCCUCCGUUUUUUUUUGACUUUCUGGAUAUAAGGAUACCAAGGAUUACGGAUUUACGCAAACUAGCAGCAGGUCGACGUGUAUCAGAGAGUAUGCAGUAUGUAAAUUGGGACGUUUACGUACGCUCAUGUAACUGGGUAUGCUGAUGGGGUUGCAGAAAUUCUCUACUGGACGUGAUCUUCGUCGAUGAGGCAUCAUCGCGCUCCUAACAAGGAUUUCAACGAUA